UGAGGAAUAUUGGUCAAUGGGCGGAAGCCUGAACCAGCCAAGUCGCGUGAGGGAAUAAGGCCUCACGGGUCGUAAACCUCUUUUGUCAGGGAGCAAGGCGCGGUACGUGUACCGCGACGGAGAGUACCUGAAGAAAAAGCAUCGGCUAACUCCGUGCCAGCAGCCGCGGUAAUACGGAGGAUGCGAGCGUUAUCCGGAUUUAUUGGGUUUAAAGGGUGCGUAGGCGGGCUUUUAAGUCAGCGGUCAAAUUGAGGGCUCAACCCUCCUCGCCGUUGAAACUGGGAGUCUUGAGUGAGCGAGAAGUAAGCGGAAUGCGUGGUGUAGCGGUGAAAUGCAUAGAUAUCACGCAGAACCCCG
Molecule: ribosomal RNA, 357 nt
Filed under: uncultured Porphyromonadaceae bacterium
Lineage: Bacteria; Pseudomonadati; Bacteroidota; Bacteroidia; Bacteroidales; Porphyromonadaceae
Description: bacterial SSU rRNA
Rfam family: Bacterial small subunit ribosomal RNA
Source: RNAcentral